CUGACGAAUGGAUACAAAGGCUAGUCAUUUUGUUGUCUCCUGUCAUCUCAAAUGGUGUAAAUCUUAUCUUCGAGAGAAUUGAACACGCAAAUAUGCAUCCACCUGGUUAGUUUUACAUAACCUUCAAGGCUCGAAACGCCACUACAGAUGAAGUCAAAACUUAUCAAACUAGGGUCUUUCGCUAGCCACCUACCGUUCUGACAUUGAAGUUGAGCUUUUCAGGC
RNAcentral lists this unclassified non-coding RNA (224 nucleotides) under Hevea brasiliensis (rubber tree). The record is from RNAcentral. Lineage: Eukaryota; Viridiplantae; Streptophyta; Magnoliopsida; Malpighiales; Euphorbiaceae.